CCUACGUGCGGCUGCAGUGAGGAAUAUUGGUCAAUGGGCGCAAGCCUGAACCAGCCAAGUCGCGUGAGGGAUGACGGUCCUCUGGAUUGUAAACCUCUUUUGUCGGGGAGCAAGGCCCGCCACGUGUGGCGGGAAGGAGAGUACCCUACGAAAAAGCAUCGGCAAACUCCGUGCCAGCAGCCGCGGUAAUACGGAGUCGGCGGGCUUUAUCCGGAUUUAUUGGGUUUAACGGGUGCGUAGGCGGAAGGUUAAGUCAGCGGUCAAAUGUCGGUGCUCAACACCGGCCUGCUGUUGAAACUGGUCGUCUGGAGUGAGCGAGAAGCAGGCGGAAUGCGUGGUGUAGAGGUGAAAUGCAUAGAUAUCACGCAGAACGCCGAUUGCGAAGGCAGCAUACCGGCGCUCAACUGACGCUGAGGCACGAAAGCGUGGGGAUCGAACAGGAUUAGAUACCCUUGUAGUC
Molecule: ribosomal RNA, 460 nt
Filed under: uncultured bacterium
Lineage: Bacteria
Description: partial 16S ribosomal RNA
Rfam family: Bacterial small subunit ribosomal RNA
Source: RNAcentral